This 473-nucleotide RNase P RNA is filed under the name Actinobacteria bacterium RBG_16_64_13. RNAcentral describes it as "RNase P RNA component class A". The stretch from base 9 to 324 matches the Rfam family "Bacterial RNase P class A", at positions 12 to 323 of the family's 367-position model. Rfam says of the family: Ribonuclease P (RNase P) is a ubiquitous endoribonuclease, found in archaea, bacteria and eukarya as well as chloroplasts and mitochondria. Its best characterised activity is the generation of mature 5'-ends of tRNAs by cleaving the 5'-leader elements of precursor-tRNAs. Cellular RNase Ps are ribonucleoproteins. The record is from RNAcentral. Lineage: Bacteria; Bacillati; Actinomycetota.
GCAGCUCGGGUAGCCGCAGGGGCUCACCAACCGUGAGUUCUUGAGGAAAGUCCGGACACCAUAGAGCAGGGUGCUGGAUAACGUCCAGCGGGGGAAACCCCAGGGAAAGCGCCACAGAAAUUACACAGCACGCCGGCGCAGCCGGUUGCAAAGGUGAAAUGGUGCGGCAAGAGCGCACCGGCGUCGUGGUGACACGGCGGCCAGGCAAGCCCCACCCGGUGCAAGGCCGAAUAGAGAGGCGUCUGAGGGCUGCUCGCCCGAAGCCUCCGGGUUGGCCGCAUGAGCCGUCCGGCAACGGCCGGCCAUAGAUAGAUGGCUACCCAAGAGGCUGCUGGGGAAUGAGGCUCGCCGCCAGGGUGCGAUUGGCAUGCGCGAGAGAAGGACGCACUAUCGGGCCGCCUAGUGCGGUCCGGCGGCCGGGGCCUUAUUUCCCAGCAGCCUCAGGACAGAAUCCGGCUUACAGGGCUGCUACC